GACGAACGCUGGCGGCGUGCCUAAUACAUGCAAGUCGAACGAACCGCGACUAGGUGCUUGCACUUGGUCAAGGUGAGUGGCGAACGGGUGAGUAACACGUGGGUAACCUACCUCAUAUUGGGGGAUAACAGUCGGAAACGACUGCUAAUACCGCAUAGGCAAUAGGAUCACAUGAUUCUGUGAGGAAAGGUGGCGCAAGCUAUCGCUAGGAGAUGGACCCGCGGUGCAUUAGCUAGUUGGUAGGGUAAAGGCCUACCAAGGCGAUGAUGCAUAGCCGACCUGAGAGGGUGAUCGGCCACAUUGGGACUGAGACACGGCCCAAACUCCUACGGGAGGCAGCAGUAGGGAAUCUUCCGCAAUGGACGCAAGUCUGACGGAGCAACGCCGCGUGAGUGAAGAAGGUCUUCGGAUCGUAAAGCUCUGUUGUUAGAGAAGAACAGCGCAUAGAGUAACUGUUAUGCGUGUGACGGUAGCUAACCAGAAAGCCACGGCUAACUACGUG
RNAcentral lists this ribosomal RNA (502 nucleotides) under uncultured bacterium. RNAcentral's name for it is "partial 16S ribosomal RNA". It matches the Rfam family "Bacterial small subunit ribosomal RNA", at positions 28 to 507 of the family's 1533-position model. The record is from RNAcentral.